Molecule: long non-coding RNA, 389 nt
Filed under: Androctonus crassicauda
Lineage: Eukaryota; Metazoa; Arthropoda; Arachnida; Scorpiones; Buthidae
Source: RNAcentral
AUCUCCGAGACCUGAAGCGUGUGCACCGAGUGUCUUCAACUAUGUUUAAGUUUUAGACCAACGCCGGCCUUGGACAUGCGCACUUUCAAUUUAGAAUUACAAAUGGCGGAAGAAGGAAUACACGAAGUUCGACAGAGUACAAAUGCAUCAUGGCAUCAAUGCAGUACAAAUGCAUGGCGGAACGCAGAACGUUUUAAAAGAACAGAUCGGCGCUUUCCUUCGGCGUUUGAUGACGUCAUAUUUUACGGCGCACAUUUCUAUGCCGCAAAUGUCGCGUAUAAAAGCAGAUUUGCGAGGUAGACCUGCCUUUAUACGCGACACAUUGAAUUUUUAGAAGACAACUGUUUCGGUUCCCUCUUGCAAGAUAGACUGAACAAGCUGCAUAUGGG